This 1280-nucleotide ribosomal RNA is filed under the name metagenome. RNAcentral's name for it is "bacterial LSU rRNA". It matches the Rfam family "Bacterial large subunit ribosomal RNA", at positions 1659 to 2925 of the family's 2925-position model. The record is from RNAcentral.
ACAGGUAGGCGGGGAGAGAAUCCUAAGGUGCGCGGGAGAACCCUCGUUAAGGAACUCGGCAAAUUGCAUCCGUAACUUCGGGAGAAGGAUGACCCUGAGUAGGCGAAAGGGAGAAACCCCCGGAACAGAAAAGGGUGGCAGAAAAGAGGCCCAAGCAACUGUUUACCAAAAACACAGGUGCCUGCGAAAGCGAAAGCUGAAGUAUAGGUGCUGACGCCUGCCCGGUGCUGGAAGGUUAAGGAGAGAGGUCAGCGAAAGCGAAGCUUUGAACUGAAGCCCCAGUGAACGGCGGCCGUAACAAUAACGGUCCUAAGGUAGCGAAAUUCCUUGUCGGGUAAGUUCCGACCCGCAUGAAAGGCGUAAUGAUUUGGGCACUGUCUCAACGAGGGGCCCGGUGAAAUUGAAAUACCUGUGAAGAUGCAGGUUACCCGCGACUGGACAGAAAGACCCCAUGGAGCUUCACUGCAGCUUGAGAUUGAAUCCCGGUGACAUAUGCACAGGAUAGGUGGGAGGCUAAGAAGUAAUGCCUUUGGGUGUUACAGAGCCGAUGUUGGGAUACCACCCUUAUGUUGCUGAGAUUCUAACACGGAGACUAACAACCUCGUGGACCAUCUCAGGCAGGCGGUUUGACUGGGGCGGUCGCCUCCUAAAAUGUAACGGAGGCGCCCAAAGGUUCCCUCAGGCCGGACAGAAACCGGCCGAAGAGUGCAAAGGCAGAAGGGAGCUUGACUGCGAGACAGACAAGUCGAGCAGAGACGAAAGUCGGGCUUAGUGAUCCGGUGGUACUGAGUGGAAAGGCCAUCGCUCAACGGAUAAAAGCUACCCUGGGGAUAACAGGCUAAUCUCUCCCAAGAGUUCAUAUCGACGGGGAGGUUUGGCACCUCGAUGUCGGCUCAUCACAUCCUGGAGCUGGAGUAGGUUCCAAGGGUUGGGCUGUUCGCCCAUUAAAGUGGUACGCGAGCUGGGUUCAAAACGUCGUGAGACAGUUUGGUUCAUAUCCAUCGCGGGCGCAAGAAGUUUGAGGGAGGCUGCUCCUAGUACGAGAGGACCGGAGUGGACGGAUCAACGGUGUACCAGUUGUCACGCCAGUGGCACGGCUGGAAAGCCGCAUCCGGAAAGGAUAAACGCUGAAAGCAUCUAAGCGUGAAGCCCGUCCCGAGAUGAGACUUCUCAUCAGCAAUGAGUAAGACCCCUUAAAGACGAUGAGGUUGAUAGGCUGUGAGUGGAAGUGGCGCAAGUCAUGGAGCGACGCAGUACUAAUAGGUCGAGGUCUUACCAAA